Molecule: ribosomal RNA, 454 nt
Filed under: Hepatozoon sp.
Lineage: Eukaryota; Apicomplexa; Hepatozoidae
Description: bacterial SSU rRNA
Rfam family: Eukaryotic small subunit ribosomal RNA
Source: RNAcentral
GUGGCAGUGACGGUUAACGGGGGAUUAGGGUUCGAUUCCGGAGAGGGAGCCUGAGAAACGGCUACCACAUCUAAGGAAGGCAGCAGGCGCGCAAAUUACCCAAUUCUAACAGCAUAAGAGAGGUAGUGACAAGAAAUAACAAUACAAGGUAAUUAAAUUGCUUUGUAAUUGGAAUGAUAGAAAUUUAAACACUUUUUAAAGUAUCAAUUGGAGGGCAAGUCUGGUGCCAGCAGCCGCGGUAAUUCCAGCUCCAAUAGCGUAUAUUAAAAUUGUUGCAGUUAAAAAGCUCGUAGUUGAAUUUCUGUUAAAAAUAACCGGUCUGCUUUUAUUAAAAGUGGUAUCUUGGUGUGUUUUUAGCAAUAAUGUCCUUUGAAAUGUUUUUUACUUUAUUGUAAUAAGUCAUUAUUUUGAGGAUUUUUACUUUGAGAAAAUUAGAGUGUUUCUAGCAGGCUUA